AUUGAACGCUGGCGGCAGGCUUAACACAUGCAAGUCGAGCGGAGAGAGGUAGCUUGCUACUGAUCUUAGCGGCGGACGGGUGAGUAAUGCUUAGGAAUCUGCCUAUUAGUGGGGGACAACAUUUCGAAAGGAAUGCUAAUACCGCAUACGUCCUACGGGAGAAAGCAGGGGAUCUUCGGACCUUGCGCUAAUAGAUGAGCCUAAGUCGGAUUAGCUAGUUGGUGGGGUAAAGGCCUACCAAGGCGACGAUCUGUAGCGGGUCUGAGAGGAUGAACCGCCACACUGGGACUGUGACACGGCCCAGACUCCUACGGGAGGCAGCAGUGGGGAAUAUUGGACAAUGGGCGGAAGCCUGAUCCAGCCAUGCCGCGAGUGGGAAGAAGGCCUUAUGGUUGUAAAGCACUUUAAGCGAGGAGGAGGCUACUUUAGUUAAUACCUAGAGAUAGUGGACGUUACUCGCAGAAUAAGCACCGGCUAACUCUGUGCCAGCCGCCGCCGUAA
RNAcentral lists this ribosomal RNA (501 nucleotides) under uncultured bacterium. Its description in RNAcentral is "partial 16S ribosomal RNA". It matches the Rfam family "Bacterial small subunit ribosomal RNA", at positions 30 to 523 of the family's 1533-position model. The record is from RNAcentral.